GACGAACGCUGGCGGCGUGCUUAACACAUGCAAGUCGAACGGUGAAGCGCCUUCCUUUUUGGUGGGUGUGGAUGAGUGGCGAACGGGUGAGUAACACGUGAGUAACCUGCCCCCUUCUUCUGGAUAACCGCAUGAAAGUGUGGCUAAUACGGGAUAUUCUGGGUCUGUCGCAUGAUGGGUCUGGGAAAGAUAUUGUUUCGGUGGGGGAUGGGCUCGCGGCCUAUCAGCUUGUUGGUGGGGUGAUGGCCUACCAAGGCGGUGACGGGUAGCCGGCCUGAGAGGGUGGACGGUCACACUGGGACUGAGACACGGCCCAGACUCCUACGGGAGGCAGCAGGGGGGAAUAUUGCACAAUGGGCGCAAGCCUGAUGCAGCGACGCCGCGUGAGGGAUGGAGGCCUUCGGGCUGUGAACCUCUUUCGCCAGUGAAGCAGGCCUGCCUCGUUUGUGGGUGGGUUGACGGUAGCUGGAGAAGAAGCGCCGGCUAACUACGUG
Molecule: ribosomal RNA, 494 nt
Filed under: uncultured bacterium
Lineage: Bacteria
Description: partial 16S ribosomal RNA
Rfam family: Bacterial small subunit ribosomal RNA
Source: RNAcentral